ACUAGUAAAUAAAACAAGUUCAGUCAGCGGAUAUUCUGGAGUUUAUAACAUGGGGGCAAUAAUAUUCUAUAAGGUAUAAUGUCGCAACAAGAGAGAGAGAGAGAGGAACCUGUGUCUCUAUGAUAGUUGCCAUUAAACAUUCAAUUUCUCUGUCUUCCUGAUCUGCUAAUAACUUGGCAUGAGCAGCAGCUCCCCCAAAAGCCGUUGCAAUUGCCACUCUAAUUCGCAAUGCCAGAGGUAUGGAGUUCUCUGGAG
Molecule: long non-coding RNA, 255 nt
Organism: Telopea speciosissima
Lineage: Eukaryota; Viridiplantae; Streptophyta; Magnoliopsida; Proteales; Proteaceae
Exons: 2
Source: RefSeq, a predicted model, not a curated record